CUUAGUAUUGACUAUGCGCGUUCAUCUCCUCGAUCGUUGGACAGCUCGUUGGAAACGGCGUAAAGGAUGACCUCCGAGCUGCUUCGUCUGAAAUACCGAUCUCCCAUGUUUCCCUUCGAUUUUCCAUACGAAGUGCACAAUCCAUCGCCGAGCUUUUGCUACAUCUCUCUAUAGCAUGAGGCCAUUCCACGUAUUUCAAGGGGCAACAAGAAACAACAUACGACAUGACGCGACGUGACGCGAUGCGAAGAAUCGAAACGAGACGUGAAAGACGUGACGAGAGGAGAGGAGAGGAGAGAAGAGGAGAAGAGAAGAGAAGAGAAGAGAAGCCGAGAGAAGCGAAGAGAGGCGGAAAGAAGCGAAGAGAUGUGAAGAGAAGCGAAGAGAAGAGAAGAGAAGAGAAGGGAGGAGAAGAGGAGGAGACUAUAGGAUAGGUGGAAGUUCGAUUCAGGGCGAAAGGGAAGGAUUAAUGGCGCAGGCGGGACACACCGCGGCCAUAAAUCGCCGCACGGCCAGGAAUUACCGGCUCGCAACUUGCGAAAUAUGACGGUCUCAUAAAUCCGAGUCCACUAGCCCGCGCGCCUCCAUCGACUACGUCGACUAGUCCCGCUUCCAGUCUCGCGUCGGUAUAUUGCGAUCUCUCUUCUACUUCUAACUCGCGGCCUAACGUCAUCUUCGUUCGCUCGCGCUCGCGGGAGAAUACACCGUGCACCCUGUGUAUACGUUUCAGCUCGGCGUGCAACGGCCAUUUAUAACUUGCGCGCCUGGAAAAGCGAGGUCCAUAACCUAAUACGUUCGUUCCGCUCGCCGAGGGGAGGCGAGAAAGGAGUUAAACAAAGAACGGGGCACGCCGAUUUAAAGGACGGGGAUAGAUGGAUGGAGACACCGGUGUGUCGUAACGAUGUGCCGCCUCGAACGAUCAAUUCACUUACCGCUUACCGUGCUUAGAUUCAUGUGCCUUGCCGCGAUUUUCCAUUCGUCCUCCACUAUUUCACUCUUCUUGCGCCUCCUCGGAAGUUCGAUCGUACCAACUGUCUUACCUUCUCGUAAUUGUUC
This is a long non-coding RNA of Bombus terrestris (buff-tailed bumblebee), 1056 nucleotides long. RefSeq lists it as uncharacterized. The record is from RefSeq and is a predicted model, not a curated record. The transcript has 2 exons. Lineage: Eukaryota; Metazoa; Arthropoda; Insecta; Hymenoptera; Apidae.